GUGCCGUGAGGUGUUAGGUUAAGUCCUGCAACGAGCGCAACCCCUGUCACUAGUUGCUACCAUUCAGUUGAGGACUCUAGUGAGACUGCCUACGCAAGUAGAGAGGAAGGUGGGGAUGACGUCAAAUCAUCACGGCCCUUACGUCUUGGGCCACACACGUAAUACAAUGGCCGGUACAGAGGGCAGCUACACAGUGAUGUGAUGCGAAUCUCGAAAGCCGGUCUCAGUUCGGAUUGGAGUCUGCAACUCGACUCUAUGAAGCUGGAAUCGCUAGUAAUCGCGCAUCAGCCAUGGCGCGGUGAAUACGUUCCCGGGCCUUGUACACACCGCCCGUCAAGCCAUGGAAGUUUGGGGUACCUGAAGUCGGUGACCGUAAAAGGAGCUGCCUAGGGUAAAACAAGUAACUAGGGCUAAGUCGUAACAAGGUAGGCGUAGUGCU
This 439-nucleotide ribosomal RNA is filed under the name uncultured bacterium. RNAcentral's name for it is "bacterial SSU rRNA". It matches the Rfam family "Bacterial small subunit ribosomal RNA", at positions 1062 to 1509 of the family's 1533-position model. The record is from RNAcentral.